Molecule: ribosomal RNA, 427 nt
Filed under: uncultured bacterium
Lineage: Bacteria
Description: partial 16S ribosomal RNA
Rfam family: Bacterial small subunit ribosomal RNA
Source: RNAcentral
UGGGGAAUAUUGCACAAUGGGCGCAAGCCUGAUGCAGCCAUGCCGCGUGUAUGAAGAAGGCCUUCGGGUUGUAAAGUACUUUCAGUGGGGAGGAAGGCGAUAAGGUUAAUAACCUUAUCGAUUGACGUUACCCGCAGAAGAAGCACCGGCUAACUCCGUGCCAGCAGCCGCGGUAAUACGGAGGGUGCAAGCGUUAAUCGGAAUUACUGGGCGUAAAGCGCACGCAGGCGGUCUGUCAAGUCGGAUGUGAAAUCCCCGGGCUCAACCUGGGAACUGCAUUCGAAACUGGCAGGCUAGAGUCUUGUAGAGGGGGGUAGAAUUCCAGGUGUAGCGGUGAAAUGCGUAGAGAUCUGGAGGAAUACCGGUGGCGAAGGCGGCCCCCUGGACAAAGACUGACGCUCAGGUGCGAAAGCGUGGGGAGCAAACA